This 450-nucleotide ribosomal RNA is filed under the name uncultured bacterium. RNAcentral describes it as "partial 16S ribosomal RNA". It matches the Rfam family "Bacterial small subunit ribosomal RNA", at positions 338 to 795 of the family's 1533-position model. The record is from RNAcentral.
CCUACGGGGGGCAGCAGUAAGGAAUAUUGGUCAAUGGACGCAAGUCUGAACCAGCCAUGCCGCGUGGAGGAUGAAGGUCCUCUGGAUUGUAAACUUCUUUUAUUUGGGAAGAAACUCCCGAUUUCCAUCGGGAUUGACGGUACCAGAUGAAUAAGCACCGGCUAACUCCGUGCCAGCAGCCGCGGUAAUACGUAGGGUGCAAGCUUUAUCCGGUUUAACUGGUUCGUAGGGGGGCAUGUAAGGGCGUGGUGAAAUCUCCGGGCUUAACCCGGAAACUGCCAUUGAUACUAUUUGUCUUGAAUACUCUGGAGGUGAGCGGAAUAUGUCAUGUAGCGGUGAAAUGCUUAGAUAUGACAUAGAACACCCAUUGCGAAGGCAGCUCACUACGGAAAUAUUGACGCUGAGGCACGAAAGCGUGGGGAUCAAACAGGAUUAGAUACCCGUGUAGUC